Molecule: ribosomal RNA, 305 nt
Filed under: uncultured bacterium
Lineage: Bacteria
Description: bacterial SSU rRNA
Rfam family: Bacterial small subunit ribosomal RNA
Source: RNAcentral
ACCUACGGGGGGCAGCAGUGAGGAAUAUUGGUCAAUGGUCGGGAGACUGAACCAGCCAAGCCGCGUGAGGGAGGAAGGUACAGAGUAUCGUAAACCUCUUUUGUCAGGGAACAAAGGCGGGGACGUGUCCCCGGAUGAGUGUACCUGAAGAAAAAGCAUCGGCUAACUCCGUGCCAGCAGCCGCGGUAAUACGGAGGAUGCGAGCGUUAUCCGGAUUUAUUGGGUUUAAAGGGUGCGCAGGCGGUCUGUUAAGUCAGCGGUCAAAGCCCGGGGCUCAAACCCGGCCCGCCGUUGAAACUGGCAGU